GUAGGUGGCAAGCGUUGUCCGGAAUUAUUGGGCGUAAAGCGCGCGCAGGCGGUCCUUUAAGUCUGAUGUGAAAGCCCACGGCUCAACCGUGGAGGGUCAUUGGAAACUGGGGGACUUGAGUACAGAAGAGGAAAGCGGAAUUCCAAGUGUAGCGGUGAAAUGCGUAGAGAUUUGGAGGAACACCAGUGGCGAAGGCGGCUUUCUGGUCUGUAACUGACGCUGAGGCGCGAAAGCGUGGGGAGCAAACAGGAUUAGAUACCCUGGUAGUCCACGCCGUAAACGAUGAGUGCUAAGUGUUAGGGGGUUUCCGCCCCCUUAGUGCUGCAGCUAACGCAUUAAGCACUCCGCCUGGGGAGUACGGCCGCAAGGCUGA
This 373-nucleotide ribosomal RNA is filed under the name uncultured organism. RNAcentral describes it as "partial 16S ribosomal RNA". It matches the Rfam family "Bacterial small subunit ribosomal RNA", at positions 527 to 897 of the family's 1533-position model. The record is from RNAcentral.